CAAGAGCGUAUGUAAAAGUUGUUGCAGUUAAAAAGCUCGUAGUUGAACCUUGGGUUUGGUUGGCCGGUCCGCUUUUUUGCGAGUACUGGAUUCAACCGAGCCUUUCCUUCUGGCUAACCAGUCGUUUCGGCGGCUGGCGAACCAGGAUUUUUACUUUGAGAAAAUUAGAGUGUUCAAAGCAGGCAUUAGCUUGAAUAUAUUAGCAUGGAAUAAUAGAAUAGGACGUUAUGGUUCUAUUUUGUUGGUUUCUAGGACCAUCGUAAUGAUUAAUAGAGACGGUCGGGGGCAUCAGUAUUCAGUUGUCAGAGGUGAAAUUCUUGGAUUUACUGAAGACUAACUACUGCGAAAGCAUUUGCCAAGGACGUUUUCAUUAA
This 374-nucleotide ribosomal RNA is filed under the name uncultured eukaryote. Its description in RNAcentral is "partial 18S ribosomal RNA". It matches the Rfam family "Eukaryotic small subunit ribosomal RNA", at positions 592 to 976 of the family's 1831-position model. The record is from RNAcentral.